Molecule: small nuclear RNA, 21 nt
Filed under: Arabidopsis thaliana (thale cress)
Lineage: Eukaryota; Viridiplantae; Streptophyta; Magnoliopsida; Brassicales; Brassicaceae
Description: snRNA_04673
Source: RNAcentral
UGUCGUUAAGUUUUCGUUAAC